CGGUUGAUCCUGCCGGACCCGACUGCUAUUUGGGUGAGGAUAAGCCAUGCGAGUUGAAUGGGAUACCUAAAUUUCCCAUGGCAAACUGCUCAGUAACACAUGAUCAACUUACCCUAUAGAGAAAAAUAACCUCAGCAAACUGAGGAUAAUGUUUCGGUAGUUGAUGAGGCUUGGAAAAGUUCAUCAACAAAAUGGGAUAAAAACAAUGGUUUUUAUCCGCUAUAGGAUAGGAUCGUGUUCGAUUAUGGUUGUUGGUGAGGUAAUGGCUCACCAAGCCGAUAAUCGAUAGGGGCCGUGAGAGCGGGAGCCCCGAGAUGGGUACUGAGACAACGACCCAGGCCUUACGAGGCGCAGCAGGCGCGGAACCUCCGCAAUACACGAAAGUGUGACGGGGUUACCCAAAGUGUUCAGUUUUGAACUGUGGUAGGUGAGUAAUGUCCCCUACUAGAAAGGAGAGGGCAAGGCUGGUGCCAGCCGCCGCGGUAAAACCAGCUCUUCAAGUGGUCGGGAUAAUUAUUGGGCUUAAAGUGUCCGUAGCCGGUUUAGUAAGUUCCUGGUAAAAUCGGGUAGCUUAACUAUCUGUAUGCUAGGAAUACUGCUAUACUAGAGGGCGGGAGAAGUCUGAGGUACUACAGGGGUAGGGGUGAAAUCUUAUAAUCCUUGUAGGACCACCAGUGGCGAAGGCGUCAGACUGGAACGCGCCUGACGGUGAGGGACGAAAGCCAGGGGAGCGAACCGGAUUAGAUACCCGGGUAGUCCUGGCCGUAAACGAUGCAUACUAGGUGAUGGCACGGCCAUGAGCCGUGUCAGUGCCGUAGGGAAACCGUUAAGUGUGCCGCCUGGGAAGUACGGUCGCAAGGCUAAAACUUAAAGGAAUUGGCGGGGGAGCAC
RNAcentral lists this ribosomal RNA (891 nucleotides) under uncultured archaeon. RNAcentral describes it as "bacterial SSU rRNA". It matches the Rfam family "Archaeal small subunit ribosomal RNA", at positions 5 to 879 of the family's 1478-position model. The record is from RNAcentral.